CAGGUACAGAAAUUUUUAGAUCUCAUUAAAAACUUACGUUAACUUCUUAUUAUUAAGUAUAUGAAGUAUUCGGGGAAUCGUGAAGAUUUUACUAGGUGAGAAAUUAAUCUAGGAAUGGUAAUGAUGAAUGUUGAAUAAUCAGACAUAGAAUGAAAAGGUUGUAUGUCAAAAGGGAAACAGCCCACAACAAGUGUUAUAAUAAGGUUCCAAAAUUAUUAUUAAGUGAAAUCAAGGAAGUCUUUUGAUUUUAAUUCGAUCAGGAAAUAGGCUUAGAAGCAGCCAUUUUUUUGAAGACCUCGUAACAGAGCACUGGUUAACAAUGUAAAAAGGCAUUGAAAAUUUAACGGAUCUAAAAUAAUAUACCGAAACCUUGUCUAUAGUUAUAAAUAUUUAUAUUGUAUAACUAUAGGGUAGCGGAACGUAGGGGAUAUAAAAGAAUUUGUUCUUUUUAAGAAAAAAUAAUAUAACUCUAGUGAUAAUGCUAACAUGAGUAACGAUAAAGGCCAAUCUAUAGGUUGACCUCGCCUUAAGCUUAUGGUAUAGAUAAAAGUAACGGCCUCUAAGUUUUAUUAACCUAAAGGACUAAACGAUGAGAAAACCUUGUUUAUAAAGUAAUAACCUUUAAAUUUUUAAACAUUCUGGGCUCGCACGCCCUCACUCUCUUUAGGAGUGAGUGAUCGCGCCCCAAUAUCUGAUGUAAAUAAUAAGUGAUGAAGAGUUCAGGAAAAACGAUAAACACUUAACCGUACCUAAAUACCAGCUCAGGUAAGCAAGAGAGAAUACG
This 784-nucleotide ribosomal RNA is filed under the name Tuber indicum. RNAcentral describes it as "LSU rRNA". It matches the Rfam family "Bacterial large subunit ribosomal RNA", at positions 834 to 1680 of the family's 2925-position model. Lineage: Eukaryota; Fungi; Ascomycota; Pezizomycetes; Pezizales; Tuberaceae. The record is from RNAcentral.